CUGCAACAAUUGCUAAAUUAAACAAAUUACUAAAAAAAAAUAUCGAGCUGAUUAGUCUGCAUUGUUUAAUAACUAGCUAAUCUACAAUUUGUCGUCAAUAUAUACCAGAUUUAUGACGUUAAAAAUGUACAUGCAUCACUCGGAGGUGAGAUUAAUUGCAGGGAGACCGAUUAAAAAUUAAUUUCCUUGAAUUAAGCACAUUCCAUCACAGAAAAGUGAGGUGAUUUGCAUCUACACAGUUGAAUUUGCUGCUGCUUUCGAGAAAUCAUGGAACGAGUGGAAACCUUGGAUGGAUAAGUCAAACAUGCCAAUUCUACUUAUAAUUCUCCUCCUUAUUAUACAGCAAUUAAAUUAAUUUGACUUUAAUCACGAGCUCAAACUGGAGCAAAUUACACGACAAGAAAAUUACUGACUGACUACCCAGCUCCUGCAACCAACUUACAGGAGUCGUUUUAGGUACAUUUGUAUGUAUCCAACAUGGAUUUUCCAAACACUUUGAAUAUUAAAAUACUUCUUUAUAUGUAUUUAGAUAUUUAAAAAUUCGAGAAUAUUUAACACGUAUUCAAUCUUCGAUAGUUUUGUAGGUGUGGUCGACGAGAAGAACAUCGUUCGUACUAAUCAAGUUACGUUACGUUCGUUGAUCCAAUUUCCUUCAAAUUAAGUUUGGUGAGACUGUUCAGCAUACUAAUGUUUGGACUCUUCUGCACAUAAUAAUUGGACAGUGGUCAACAACAGUGAUUAGCUGACGAUUGUAAAAUCAGCAGAAAAUGUGAUAUGCUAUAUAUUUUACACACAUAAAAAUAUGCACAUUUAUUUUGCGUCUAUUUUAACUAUAGUUAGAAGAGCAAGUCCCAUUUAUAAGGUUCAUAACAAUAAAUAUACGCCAAAUAAAUCAAUUUCAUCGGCACAACUAGUGUGCCCAAAC
Molecule: long non-coding RNA, 925 nt
Organism: Folsomia candida
Lineage: Eukaryota; Metazoa; Arthropoda; Collembola; Entomobryomorpha; Isotomidae
Exons: 2
Source: RefSeq, a predicted model, not a curated record